This 330-nucleotide long non-coding RNA is filed under the name Elaeis guineensis (African oil palm). Its description in RNAcentral is "long non-coding RNA (EGUI_LNC029264)". Lineage: Eukaryota; Viridiplantae; Streptophyta; Magnoliopsida; Arecales; Arecaceae. The record is from RNAcentral.
UUGGCUGUUGUUGAAUCGAAGUCGAUAGUUGAUUGAUCUGAAUUGAGGGCCGAUUGGCUUAUCCCAAUAAUUUUAAAAGUGUCAGUUGGCACAUUAGCAGAGUGCAUUUGGUUCAAUAUCAUCUUCCAUCUACAUCCAGUGAGAUUUUUGUCGCCAUAACCAUCUAAACAAAAAUGUCAUAGUUUUUUAAAAAAAAUUGAUAAAAGUCUGAUUAUGGUUAUAAUAUUCUUGCCCCAAUCAACAGUAUCUUAAAUGGCUUAGUUUCACUUUUCCCAGCGAUCGAGAGGUUCAUGUAGCAAAGACAUGCGGGUGUCUUCGGGUAUAGAAUAA